Molecule: ribosomal RNA, 477 nt
Filed under: uncultured bacterium
Lineage: Bacteria
Description: partial 16S ribosomal RNA
Rfam family: Bacterial small subunit ribosomal RNA
Source: RNAcentral
GAUUAACGCUGGCGGCGUGCAUAACACAUGCAAGUCGAACGAUGAAACUUUAAUGAACCCUUCGGGGAGAAUUAAAGCGGCUUAGUGGCGAACGGGUGAGUAACGCGUGAGUAACCUGCCUUACACAAGGGGAUAGCCUUUGGAAACGAAGAAUAAUACCCUAUAAAACCAUAAAAGCACAUGCAAUUAUGGUCAAAGUGAUAGCGGUGUAAGAUGGACUUGCGUCUGAUUAGCUAGUUGGUGAGAUAAAAGCCCACCAAGGCAACGAUCAGUAGCCGGCUUGAGAGAGUGUACGGCCACAUUGGGACUGAGACACGGCCCAGACUCCUACGGGAGGCAGCAGUGGGGAAUUUGGCACAAUGGGGGAAACCCUGAUGCAGCGACGCCGCGUGAUUUAGAAGGCCUUCGGGUUGUAAAAAUCUUUUGUAUAGGAAGAAAAUGACAGUACUAUACGAAUAAGGGCCGGCUAAUUACGUG